GCAUAUCAAUAAGCGGAGGAAAAGAAACUAACAAGGAUUCCCCUAGUAACGGCGAGUGAAGAGGGAAGAGCUCAAAUUUUAAAUCUAUCAUGUUUGUACAUGAUCGAAUUGUAAUUUGAAGAAGCGUUUUCUCGUACUUUAUGCAAUCAGUAUAAGUUCUCUUGGAACAGGACAUCAUAGAGGGUGAUAAUCCCGUCUGUUACUGGUUGUGAGGUUCGUUAUGAUACGCUUUCAAAGAGUCGAGUUGUUUGGGAUUGCAGCUCCAAAUGGGUGGUAAACAUCACCUAAGGCUAAAUAUUUGCGAGAGACCGAUAGCGAACAAGUACCGUGAGGGAAAGAUGAAAAGAACUUUGAAAAGAGAGUUAAAAAGUAUGUGAAAUUGUUGAAAGGGAAACGAUUGAAGUCAGUCGUGCAGUCAUCAAUUCAGCGGUUAACAUUUUAUGUUUCCGUGUAAUUUGGUGUCUGUUGGUUAGCAUCAAUUUUGAUUGUUAUAAAAAGGUUAAGGGGAUGUGGCUCCUUCGGGAGUGUUAUAACCCUUAGCGUAAUGUGACGAUUAGGAUUGAGGUUUGCAACGAAUACCUUUUAGGGCAGUUUCACCUGGCCUCUCGUGGAAUUAUAGAUAGUUAAGAGCAUGCUCUUACUGUCUAUGAUUCUACGAAAAGGUUGGAGUGUAAAACUAAUUCGUUAAGGAUGUUGACGUA
This 701-nucleotide ribosomal RNA is filed under the name uncultured Glomerales. Its description in RNAcentral is "LSU rRNA". It matches the Rfam family "Eukaryotic large subunit ribosomal RNA", at positions 38 to 633 of the family's 3401-position model. The record is from RNAcentral. Lineage: Eukaryota; Fungi; Glomeromycota; Glomeromycetes; Glomerales; Glomeraceae.